CCUUUCUUUCUAACUUCCUUUCCUUUUUAAUUAGCAGAAUUAUCUUGAAUAUCUGUAUUUACAAAGAAAGAAGGACAUCCACUGAAUCAGCCCAUCUUUACUUUUUACACAUAAAAAGAAGUGUUAAGAAUUGUCCUUUGAGAGUCUGA
Molecule: long non-coding RNA, 149 nt
Filed under: Cavia porcellus (domestic guinea pig)
Lineage: Eukaryota; Metazoa; Chordata; Mammalia; Rodentia; Caviidae
Description: lncRNA (ENSCPOG00000036001.1)
Source: RNAcentral